RNAcentral lists this ribosomal RNA (468 nucleotides) under uncultured bacterium. Its description in RNAcentral is "partial 16S ribosomal RNA". It matches the Rfam family "Bacterial small subunit ribosomal RNA", at positions 28 to 507 of the family's 1533-position model. The record is from RNAcentral.
GACGAACGCUGGCGGCGUGCUUAACACAUGCAAGUCGAACGGAAAGGCCCUGCUUUUGUGGGGUGCUCGAGUGGCGAACGGGUGAGUAACACGUGAGUAACCUGCCCUUGACUUUGGGAUAACUUCAGGAAACUGGGGCUAAUACCGGAUAGGAGCUCCUGCUGCAUGGUGGGGGUUGGAAAGUUUCGGCGGUUGGGGAUGGACUCGCGGCUUAUCAGCUUGUUGGUGGGGUAUUGGCUUACCAAGGCUUUGACGGGUAGCCGGCCUGAGAGGGUGACCGGCAACAUUGGGACUGAGAUACGGCCCAGACUCCUACGGGAGGCAGCAGUGGGGAAUAUUGCACAAUGGGCGGAAGCCUGAUGCAGCAACGCCGCGUGCGGGAUGACGGCCUUCGGGUUGUAAACCGCUUUCGCCUGUGACGAAGCGUGAGUGACGGUAAUGGGUAAAGAAGCACCGGCUAACUACGUG